RNAcentral lists this ribosomal RNA (274 nucleotides) under uncultured bacterium. RNAcentral's name for it is "partial 16S ribosomal RNA". It matches the Rfam family "Bacterial small subunit ribosomal RNA", at positions 523 to 796 of the family's 1533-position model. The record is from RNAcentral.
AUACAGAGGGUGCGAGCGUUAAUCGGAAUUACUGGGCGUAAAGCGCGCGUAGGCGGCUUAUUAAGUCAGAUGUGAAAUCCCCGGGCUCAACCUGGGAACUGCAUCUGAUACUGGUAAGCUAGAGUUUUGGAGAGGGAAGUAGAACUUCAGGUGUAGCGGCGAAAUGCAUAGAGAUCUGAAGGAAUACCAGUGGCGAAGGCGACUUCCUGGCCAAAAACUGACGCUGAGGUGCGAAAGCGUGGGUAGCAAACGGGAUUAGAAACCCUAGUAGUCC